This is a long non-coding RNA of Betta splendens (Siamese fighting fish), 961 nucleotides long. RefSeq lists it as uncharacterized. The record is from RefSeq and is a predicted model, not a curated record. NCBI's taxonomy places the organism in Eukaryota, Metazoa, Chordata, Actinopteri, Anabantiformes, Osphronemidae. The transcript has 2 exons.
GAAAUGUAUGAGCUGCUAUAGGCUAAUAUUGCCGCUCAGGUUUGUUUAUCCGUGAAGACAAGGGGUUAAAACUCGUGACUUCGGCCCUGUGAGGUUUCUGAUUGGCUGGCACGUUGCCAGAGUGCUGUCAAUCACCGAGUGUAAACAAGGCUCUGAUUGGCUGCUGGCCAGUCCGCACUGGGCUGCCUGAAAAAAGCAAUUACUGCCCCUGCGGUUUCAAGGCGGCCCCGCGCUGAACGAUGAAAGGAGAUAAGGAGGGGCGGUUUCAAGGCGCCCCCCACGGCGAACCCCGUUGGCCCCAGAGCAAAAGGAGAGUCAAGAGUGACUAAAUCAAAGGGAAUACGGUAAAAGGGGGGAAAUUACACGUUGUAUUAAAUAUAGAGGCUAGAUUCGCGGAAUGGUGCAAUAACAACGUUGUGUUUAGAAAAUGGAGGAGAGAAAGGCAACAAGAACCGGAAAUAUGCUAUUGUGCUGCAGCGAGGGAGCUUCUUUUCCACAAACGAAGAGGGAGAAAAGUUUUUCUUAACAAUGGACACGAUGGAAAGAAAGCGAUAGGACGGAUGCCGCUGAUUCUGAUCGUCCUGACAGAUAGGCCAGAGAGCCCCAUGCCUCACAACGGGUCAGGGGAUGCGAAACGGCUGGCACGAAAAAUAAAAUAGUGCAGUAAAACGCCGUAGCCCUCCAUCAAGUCGCUUUAAAAGGGUUGAAUUGUGGAGCCAAACUGUUGACUAAAGACACAUGUCGACAGACACCUUUAGAUGAAGAGGAUGAUGCAGCAGAGGGCGAUGAUGAUGAUGGUGGGAAUAGCUCAAGCACCAAAUUAGUACCUGUCAGGCUGUCAUAUAUUGGGCUGUAACCACCACCAGGCCUGUAUGGAUGAGAUGAAAGCUCCACCAUCUAUUUAUGUGCCAUCAAGACGUGCAGGUGGAGGCUUUAAUUAUUAUCACUGGAACACAAACAC